This 742-nucleotide long non-coding RNA is filed under the name Nicotiana benthamiana. RNAcentral describes it as "long non-coding RNA (NBEN_LNC023649)". Lineage: Eukaryota; Viridiplantae; Streptophyta; Magnoliopsida; Solanales; Solanaceae. The record is from RNAcentral.
UGAUAUCGGAGUGUAUUUUCUUCUCCUGAACGUUCUGGAAGAUUUUAUGAUGAUUUUUGGUUGAUUUUGGGUGACCUAUCGGCUUCUAGGGUUUUUUAGUGGUUUAACCUAGGGUUCUACUGCUUUCCGGUGGCUCGAUUAUUACUCAUUGGACGUUUUGGGUGCCUCUCCGACGUUCCUGACCACAUUUUCAGUAAGGAUUUCCAAGGUUACACCUAGGGUUUUGUACCUAAGGUUUCUCUGUUGUUUGAAGGCCGAUCUUCUCCGGUUGCGAAGAAGGAGGGUAACUCUGUCCUUAUCUUCGAUUUUGUAUGUGAUUAUUUGACUCUGUACUUGUGAGCAUCUGGUGUUGUCUGUGAAUACCUGACUUGGCUAUAUUCUGUUUGUUGGUUGUUGUGAGUGAAUACCUGUUUUGGUUGUAUUCUGUUUGUUGAAAAGUUGUUCUUUUAAGCCGGUUCAUUGACUGUGGCUUCUAACACAAGUACUGGUGCCUCCCCUUCUGUAGUGUUGUAUUCUGUUGUAUUCUGUUCGUUGAAAAGUUGUUCUUUUAAGCCGGUUCAUUGACUAUGGCUUCUAACAUAAGUACUGGUGCCUCCCCUUUUGUAGACUCUUCCAGUCCCCAUUUUGUAUAUUCUUCUGAUGUACCUGGGGUAUCUCUCGUUCCCACUCCCUUCUCGGGUAGUGGUUAUGGGGGCUGGAGACGUAAAAUGAUUGUUGCCUUAUCAGCCAAAAACAAAAUNNN